Molecule: unclassified non-coding RNA, 352 nt
Filed under: soil metagenome
Description: partial contains 5.8S ribosomal RNA, internal transcribed spacer 2, and large subunit ribosomal RNA
Rfam family: 5.8S ribosomal RNA (bases 1-120)
Source: RNAcentral
GAUGAAGAACGCAGCGAAAUGCGAUAAGUAAUGUGAAUUGCAGAAUUCAGUGAAUCAUCGAAUCUUUGAACGCACAUUGCGCCCGCCAGUAUUCUGGCGGGCAUGCCUGUUCGAGCGUCAUUACAACCCUCAGGCCCCCGGGCCUGGCGUUGGGGAUCGGCGGAAGCCCCCUGUGGGCACACGCCGUCCCUCAAAUACAGUGGCGGUCCCGCCGCAGCUUCCAUUGCGUAGUAGCCAACACCUCGCAACUGGAGAGCGGCGCGGCCAUGCCGUAAAACACCCAACUUCUGAAUGUUGACCUCGAAUCAGGUAGGAAUACCCGCUGAACUUAAGCAUAUCAAUAAGCGGAGGA